RNAcentral lists this long non-coding RNA (552 nucleotides) under Homo sapiens (human). RNAcentral describes it as "HSALNT0268886". The record is from RNAcentral. Lineage: Eukaryota; Metazoa; Chordata; Mammalia; Primates; Hominidae.
AAAAAAUCUACGACCUGGGAAAGGAAAGAGCCAGUUGAGGAAAAGCCCUUUGUCCCUUCUUUGUUUAUAUCUCCAACUUCCCGAUUUUUCCUGUGGCUGUGAUGGCCAGGAUGUGGCAGCCCUCUGGUUAUAACAGUGUCACAAAUCCUUCAUUGAGGCUGCCUUGCAACCCAAGCUCUGCCUCUCUCCAAUCCUCUCUUUCCCUCCCUUCAUAGGUGCAGAUGCUGAGAGCACUUUCUAGUCAAGUCCUGCAUGUUCAUUUCUGUCUCAAGUCAGCUUCUCUGAGAAUCCAAUUUAUAAAAAUAUAUUUGUGAAUGUAUAAGUAAAGUGACUUGGAUUUUGUCUACGUACAAGGACUUCUAUGCCUGCAUAAAACAGCUUUCAGAGUGACUAACCAUACCAGUUUGACCAAGACUGUAUUGGCUGCAGCACUUAAAAGCUCACAUCCCGGAAAUCCUUUGGUCCUCGGUGAAUUGGGAUGGUUGGUUACCCUAUUACUGAUGAUUGUAAUUCUCAGCGUAGUUUGGAACCAGCAGCAGCAGCAGCUCCCCA